CUACGGAAGGUCCGGGCGUUAUCCGGAUUUAUUGGGUUUAAAGCGAGCGCAGGCGGAGAUGCAAGCGUGACGUCAAAUUCCGGGGCUCAACCCCGUCUCGCGUCGCGAACUGCGUCCCUUGGUUGCGGGAAGGGGAGGCGGAACUCGUGGUGUAGCGGGGAAAUGCAUAGAUAUCACGAAGAACUCCGAUCGCGAAGGCAGCCUUCCGGCCCGUCAACGACGCUCAUGCUCGAAGGUGCGGGUAUCAAACAGGAUUAGAUACCCUGGUAGUCCGCACAGUAAACGAUGGACACCCGCGGUUUGGCCUAUAUGGCUGAGCCGCCAAGCGAAAGCGUUAAGUGUCCCACCUGGGGAGUACGCCGGCAACGGUGAAACUCAAAGGAAUGGACGGGG
This 393-nucleotide ribosomal RNA is filed under the name uncultured bacterium. RNAcentral's name for it is "partial 16S ribosomal RNA". It matches the Rfam family "Bacterial small subunit ribosomal RNA", at positions 523 to 918 of the family's 1533-position model. The record is from RNAcentral.